UCCUAGCUGACGAGUCCCAAAUAGAACAAAACAUACGUCCUGGAU
This 45-nucleotide non-coding RNA is filed under the name Schistosoma mattheei. The record is from RNAcentral. Lineage: Eukaryota; Metazoa; Platyhelminthes; Trematoda; Strigeidida; Schistosomatidae.